This 184-nucleotide ribosomal RNA is filed under the name uncultured bacterium. RNAcentral describes it as "partial 16S ribosomal RNA". It matches the Rfam family "Bacterial small subunit ribosomal RNA", at positions 1317 to 1500 of the family's 1533-position model. The record is from RNAcentral.
UGCGUGAAGUUGGAAUCGCUAGUAAUCGCGGAUCAGCAUGCCGCGGUGAAUACGUUCCCGGGCCUUGUACACACCGCCCGUCACACCAUGAGAGUCGGGAACACCCGAAGUCCGUAGCCUAACAGCAAUGAGGGCGCGGCCGAAGGUGGGUUCGAUAAUUGGGGUGAAGUCGUAACAAGGUAUC